UGUGUCUGUGUGGAUGUCUAUGCAUUUAUACAUACAGUAUGCUGGUGCUGUGCAUCUGUGCUUGUGUUUGCCGGUGUGUUUGUGUGUGUGUUUGUGUCUGUGUGUUUGUAUGUGCCUGUCUCUGUGUUUUGCGUUUGAUUGCACAGCUCCAGUGGUGAGGUCCCUAGCUCUCUCCCUUCACUGUCUGUCUGUCACUGAGAGGGUCACAGCUCCAGUGGUGAGGUCCCUAGCUCUCUCCCUUCACUGUCUGUCUGUCACUGAGAGGGUCACAGCUCCAGUGGUGAGGUCCCUAGCUCUCUCCCUUCCCUGUCUGUCUGUCACUGAGAGGAUCACAGCUCCAGUGGUGAGGUCCCUAGCUCUCUCCCUUCACUGUCUGUCUGUCACUGAGAGGAUCACAGCUCGAUGGUUUAAUGGCCGGAAAUGUUUAAGAGGGAUGAUGGAUGGAAGAAAGAGAAGAGAGAGAGAGAGCUACAAUGUGUUUUCUGGCCUCUCCUCCCUCGUUCACAGCUGUUGUUCUCUGCUGUGACUGGGCGUUGUGGUCUUGUGUGUUCUGGUUUUGGCUCGCUCCCACUGUAACAAUUUUGUAAAUGUCUUAAAUAUCUCUUGACGCCUUCAAAGGGAAUCCAGUUGUGUGUAGUCUCUCUCUCUCGCUCUCUCUCUCUCUCGGUCGCCCCCCC
Molecule: long non-coding RNA, 677 nt
Organism: Oncorhynchus tshawytscha (Chinook salmon)
Lineage: Eukaryota; Metazoa; Chordata; Actinopteri; Salmoniformes; Salmonidae
Source: Ensembl